Clupea harengus (Atlantic herring) is the source of this 2072-nucleotide long non-coding RNA. RefSeq lists it as uncharacterized. The record is from RefSeq and is a predicted model, not a curated record. NCBI's taxonomy places the organism in Eukaryota, Metazoa, Chordata, Actinopteri, Clupeiformes, Clupeidae.
GCCGAUGGCUUUAGCUAUUCAAGUCAGAUAUGUGCAGAAUGCAGCGUAAUAACCAAUUCAAGGAGGAACGUCUUGUAAUUUGGUCAGAAAUAGAUAAAUAAGUGAAAAUGUAGCCUUGGUGCUCUUGCUGGACAUGAGAGCUGUAUUCUCAUAUAGUAUCUCAUCCCUUUGUCCUCUGCUGCUGUGUGCAGUUCACAUUGGGUUCCAUUUUGUCUGCUGGCAUAAUCAAGUUUUUUUUCAGCUAAGGCAUUAGUAUAAGCUUCAGAAUUCAAGGGACCGAUGUGUAUCACCUGAAUGAAAUUAAUAGCCAAUGGUGCCUGGUGUCAUUCUGGCAGACAUCUGCUGGCCCAAAGGCAGACAUUCUAUCUAUCCAGUAACACUCAGGCAGUAACAUACUUAGUCAAAUUCGUAGUGAAAGGGAAAUUUAAAACGUAUUGGGAGAGUGCCAUAGUCAUAAAUAAAUCAUACAUGGAAGCUUUCAAGCCUGAUUCCCAAGGGGAACCCAAAACCAACCCUCACAGUCCACAUCUUGCCCUGCUGGGCCUCUGUCCUCUUCUACAGAUAUGAGGGGAGUUAGCAGUGAAACGGGCAUCUAAGAGGACAUGGGCCGAAAUAGGUAGGGCUAUGACAAGCCAUUCAUUAGAAAUGUGGCACAAUGCAAUGAGCAAGACACCGAAGGUUGAUCAUUCUACACCAAAGGGGAAUAACACAAGAAGCAAUAUUAUGACAUCAGUUAACACAUUUAACUCAAUGAAGAAGAGGCAUAGUGACAUUCAGUAAAGGCAGAGAGAGAAAGGUCUUUCACAACUUGGGGAUAGUAGCAGCACACUCUCGAGGGGUUCCAGUGAAAUUAAAUGGCACCAGUAGGUGGCAGUACUGCACUUAAGAGGAUGCGGCCAACUAUCGUUACAUUUGAAGAAGAAGACCCUCGACAGACCUAGCUAAACGCUAAAAAAAAAUCACAGACAGUCACAAAUGGUUUAAAAGACGGUUUAGUGCCAAACAAUACUCAGAGGUUGAAUUCACUGUUGCCAAGCAGCUGAAGCCGAGAGGAGUGUCUGAUAUAAAUCAUGUACAGCGUCAGUCAGCGGAAUGUGGAAAGAGUGUACUCAUUAUUGCUAGGUGUUUGUGUAUUACUGGCCUGGGGCUUCGUGAUCUACGGCUGCAGGGAAGCGGCUCUGGAAAGUCUCACUGCUGUGGGUGGAGUCUGAGGCCCCGCAGACCACUGGGAAAUGGAGUUUCCUGCAGGAACAACGUCAUCGCAAACACAGACUGUCUGUCUCAGCGCAAGGAUGGAGUGAUAUGGACAUGUGUGAGGUGUCAUGGACAAAUGUGUGUGUGUGUGUGUGUGUGUGCACACAUGCCAGUGCACUCACUCACAUCUACCCUUCCCUGGUGGAAGAGUGUAGACCCAUUGUGAACUUAAUGAACAGAUGAGAGUGGAUAUGUGUGCAUUUUUGGUAUGAUGCUGUUGUGUUUUGAACUAUUCUCAUCUGAUGUUGUACUGCUUUGCUUUGUUUUUUAUUUCACCGGAAAAAAAUGUAAACCCUAUUUGGAAUAUCUCUUGGUUCAACAUCUCAUCAUGUAUAUAAGUAAAGCCAAACGCACAGAAAUCAGACCAAAUUCGAGAAAACAAGCGGGCCGUUAUUAAGCUUAAAUGUCAACUGUAACAUAUUAAAUUGACCUCAAGCGUAGAAUUUUGUCUGUAGAAAUUGCAGCAGGUUGACCUCCCCUCAAAAUUCAUACCUCGUUCCUACCCAGUUUCCACUUUUGAUUACUUGUGUUUGCCACUAGAAAAAUAUCUCCCUAAGUCAUGGCUUGCGAGACAGCUUGUUCUGUUUCAUAUACAUUUACAAGCUGUAUCAAAACCAACUACUGUUCUUUUCUGUCUCUUUUUGUUUUAGUGUUGUCAGCAUAAUUGGGUGGAUGGUGGAUGGUGGGGGGGUGGAAUUCCAAUCAGCAAAUAGAGGGAUAAAUCAAGCUCACAAGUCAUUUUCAGAGGGCUCAGAAAGGCUGUCUGUGAAUCAGUAAUAUUGACACAUCUGUUGAACAAUAAAACUGCAUUCACUUUA